AGAGUGUCGUCACAGUCUGUCCCAUUU
RNAcentral lists this unclassified non-coding RNA (27 nucleotides) under Mus musculus (house mouse). RNAcentral describes it as "oocyte_clustered_small_RNA3732". The record is from RNAcentral. Lineage: Eukaryota; Metazoa; Chordata; Mammalia; Rodentia; Muridae.